Molecule: small RNA, 728 nt
Filed under: Elliottinia kerneri
Lineage: Eukaryota; Fungi; Ascomycota; Leotiomycetes; Helotiales; Sclerotiniaceae
Description: eukaryotic LSU rRNA
Rfam family: Eukaryotic large subunit ribosomal RNA (bases 465-728)
Source: RNAcentral
AGGAUCAUUACAGAGUUCAUGCCCGAAAGGGUAGACCUCCCACCCUUGUGUAUUAUUACUUUGUUGCUUUAGGCAAGCCGCCUUCGGGCCUAAUGUGCUUCCUAAAGGAUAUCGAACCUCUUUUUAUUAAUGUCGUCUGAGUACUAUAUAAUAGUUAAAACUUUCAACAACGGAUCUCUUGGUUCUGGCAUCGAUGAAGAACGCAGCGAAAUGCGAUAAGUAAUGUGAAUUGCAGAAUUCAGUGAAUCAUCGAAUCUUUGAACGCACAUUGCGCCCCUUGGUAUUCCGGGGGGCAUGCCUGUUCGAGCGUCAUUUCAUCCCUCAAGCUCAGCUUGGUAUUGAGCCUAUGUCAGUAAUGGCAGGCUCUAAAAUCAAUGGCGGCGCCACUGGGUCCUAAACGUAGUAAAAUAUCUCGUUACAGGCUCUCAGCGUGCUUCUGCCAAAACCCUAAUUUUUUUAAUGAUUGACCUCGGAUCAGGUAGGGAUACCCGCUGAACUUAAGCAUAUCAAUAAGCGGAGGAAAAGAAACCAACAGGGAUUACCUCAGUAACGGCGAGUGAAGCGGUAAAAGCUCAAAUUUGAAAUCUGGCUCUUUUAGAGUCCGAGUUGUAAUUUGUAGAAGAUGUUUCGGGCGUGGUUCCGGUCUAAGUUCCUUGGAACAGGACGUCAUAGAGGGUGAGAAUCCCGUAUGUGACUGGAUACCUAUGCUCAUGUGAAACUCUUUCGAC